Molecule: ribosomal RNA, 621 nt
Filed under: Klebsiella pneumoniae
Lineage: Bacteria; Pseudomonadati; Pseudomonadota; Gammaproteobacteria; Enterobacterales; Enterobacteriaceae
Description: bacterial SSU rRNA
Rfam family: Bacterial small subunit ribosomal RNA
Source: RNAcentral
ACGGGGGCCCGCACAAGCGGUGGAGCAUGUGGUUUAAUUCGAAGCAACGCGAAGAACCUUACCAGGUCUUGACAUCCUUUGACCACUCUAGAGAUAGAGUUUUCCCCUUCGGGGGACAGAGUGACAGGUGGUGCAUGGUUGUCGUCAGCUCGUGUCGUGAGAUGUUGGGUUAAGUCCCGCAACGAGCGCAACCCUUAAGCUUAGUUGCCAUCAUUAAGUUGGGCACUCUAAGUUGACUGCCGGUGACAAACCGGAGGAAGGUGGGGAUGACGUCAAAUCAUCAUGCCCCUUAUGAUUUGGGCUACACACGUGCUACAAUGGACAAUACAAAGGGCAGCGAAACCGCGAGGUCAAGCAAAUCCCAUAAAGUUGUUCUCAGUUCGGAUUGUAGUCUGCAACUCGACUAUAUGAAGCUGGAAUCGCUAGUAAUCGUAGAUCAGCAUGCUACGGUGAAUACGUUCCCGGGUCUUGUACACACCGCCCGUCACACCACGAGAGUUUGUAACACCCGAAGCCGGUGGAGUAACCAUUUGGAGCUAGCCGUCGAAGGUGGGACAAAUGAUUGGGGUGAAGUCGUAACAAGGUAGCCGUAUCGGAAGGUGCGGCUGGAUCACCUCCUUU